RNAcentral lists this ribosomal RNA (1529 nucleotides) under Lactiplantibacillus plantarum. RNAcentral's name for it is "Lactobacillus plantarum partial 16S ribosomal RNA". It matches the Rfam family "Bacterial small subunit ribosomal RNA". The record is from RNAcentral. Lineage: Bacteria; Bacillati; Bacillota; Bacilli; Lactobacillales; Lactobacillaceae.
GAGUUUGAUCCUGGCUCAGGACGAACGCUGGCGGCGUGCCUAAUACAUGCAAGUCGAACGAACUCUGGUAUUGAUUGGUGCUUGCAUCAUGAUUUACAUUUGAGUGAGUGGCGAACUGGUGAGUAACACGUGGGAAACCUGCCCAGAAGCGGGGGAUAACACCUGGAAACAGAUGCUAAUACCGCAUAACAACUUGGACCGCAUGGUCCGAGUUUGAAAGAUGGCUUCGGCUAUCACUUUUGGAUGGUCCCGCGGCGUAUUAGCUAGAUGGUGGGGUAACGGCUCACCAUGGCAAUGAUACGUAGCCGACCUGAGAGGGUAAUCGGCCACAUUGGGACUGAGACACGGCCCAAACUCCUACGGGAGGCAGCAGUAGGGAAUCUUCCACAAUGGACGAAAGUCUGAUGGAGCAACGCCGCGUGAGUGAAGAAGGGUUUCGGCUCGUAAAACUCUGUUGUUAAAGAAGAACAUAUCUGAGAGUAACUGUUCAGGUAUUGACGGUAUUUAACCAGAAAGCCACGGCUAACUACGUGCCAGCAGCCGCGGUAAUACGUAGGUGGCAAGCGUUGUCCGGAUUUAUUGGGCGUAAAGCGAGCGCAGGCGGUUUUUUAAGUCUGAUGUGAAAGCCUUCGGCUCAACCGAAGAAGUGCAUCGGAAACUGGGAAACUUGAGUGCAGAAGAGGACAGUGGAACUCCAUGUGUAGCGGUGAAAUGCGUAGAUAUAUGGAAGAACACCAGUGGCGAAGGCGGCUGUCUGGUCUGUAACUGACGCUGAGGCUCGAAAGUAUGGGUAGCAAACAGGAUUAGAUACCCUGGUAGUCCAUACCGUAAACGAUGAAUGCUAAGUGUUGGAGGGUUUCCGCCCUUCAGUGCUGCAGCUAACGCAUUAAGCAUUCCGCCUGGGGAGUACGGCCGCAAGGCUGAAACUCAAAGGAAUUGACGGGGGCCCGCACAAGCGGUGGAGCAUGUGGUUUAAUUCGAAGCUACGCGAAGAACCUUACCAGGUCUUGACAUACUAUGCAAAUCUAAGAGAUUAGACGUUCCCUUCGGGGACAUGGAUACAGGUGGUGCAUGGUUGUCGUCAGCUCGUGUCGUGAGAUGUUGGGUUAAGUCCCGCAACGAGCGCAACCCUUAUUAUCAGUUGCCAGCAUUAAGUUGGGCACUCUGGUGAGACUGCCGGUGACAAACCGGAGGAAGGUGGGGAUGACGUCAAAUCAUCAUGCCCCUUAUGACCUGGGCUACACACGUGCUACAAUGGAUGGUACAACGAGUUGCGAACUCGCGAGAGUAAGCUAAUCUCUUAAAGCCAUUCUCAGUUCGGAUUGUAGGCUGCAACUCGCCUACAUGAAGUCGGAAUCGCUAGUAAUCGCGGAUCAGCAUGCCGCGGUGAAUACGUUCCCGGGCCUUGUACACACCGCCCGUCACACCAUGAGAGUUUGUAACACCCAAAGUCGGUGGGGUAACCUUUUAGGAACCAGCCGCCUAAGGUGGGACAGAUGAUUAGGGUGAAGUCGUAACAAGGUAGCCGU